UCAUGGGUUUGAGAGAGGGCAAAAGGGUUCUUCCCUAAAAAUCAAUCCAACACAAAUCUACCCCAAUUGUUGAUCUUAGAAGCUGGAAUUUUAUGCAUGAAGCUUUAUCUAAGCUUAAUUAAGUACUCUUGAUCUAAGGACAAUAAAGGAAGAAAGUUCAAGUUGAUCACAAGUAAAGGAAAAGCAAGGCCAAGGUAAAUCGCAUGCUUGAACUCGGCGGCUCGGAAUGAACACUCUACAAGGCCUGUACGCGCUUCUGAAUGCAAGAUUUGUCAAACGGGUCGAAACUUAAUGUUAACUUUUGAAACUUUGUAAAUUUAGCUUUUAUGGUAUUUUGUUAACAUGAUAAAUUGAUGUAAGUUAGUUGUGAAGUUUAUGACUAUC
Molecule: long non-coding RNA, 384 nt
Organism: Helianthus annuus (common sunflower)
Lineage: Eukaryota; Viridiplantae; Streptophyta; Magnoliopsida; Asterales; Asteraceae
Exons: 3
Source: RefSeq, a predicted model, not a curated record